GAUAAAUCUAAAGUUGAUCACAAUGGCCGACCAAGCAGAUUGGCGAACUCAAAAUUUCCGUCAGAAACUCGUAGCUCAAAUCGAUGAAGCAAUUCGGCAGUCAGCUACGCCAAUGGUGCGAUCAAGUAUGGACAUGGAAAACCAUGUUUUUCAAAAAGCUAAGACACGAGAAGAAUACCUAGCCUUGGUUGCUAGACUGAUUCUGCAUGUGAAGGAUUUCAAUGCAACCAAGAAGAACCAACAGGCAGGCGUGCCCGGCCCUGUGAUGGCAGCCCAUGGUAUGGGGGGCGGGGCAGGAGUCCCGGGACAGCAGGACCCCAUCAAUGCCCUACAGACUCUCACCAGGCAGGGGGUGGGGCAACAAGGUAUGAUGGCGACACACCAAAUGACGCCACAGCAAAGACAACAGCUUGUUGCGCAGCAACAGGCACAGCAUUUAAUGCAGCAACAGCGAGCCCAGCAGCAACACCAACAGCAGCAGCAGCAGCAACAACAGCAGCAGCAGCAGCAGCAGCAGCAGCAGCAACCACAGCAACAGAAGCCCCAAUUGCAGAGACAAGAUGCAUUCAUUGUCACCUCUCCCCAGAAUGUGCAGCCUGUUCAGAGUCAACCACUCCCCGCCUCCUGUCAGAAUAUCCCGUUCCAACCCACAUCUGGGGUAGCUCCUCGUCCUGUUGGCCCCAGCGGGAUCUCAGGCCAACAGCAACAGUUCCAGCAGUCGUCUGGACCACAGUCAGUUGGCUCUAUGGCCCCUGCCCACUCCCCUGCUCAGAUGAGUUCUCCAGUCACCAUGUUGACGGCACCAUCCCCUCAGCCGCAGGUAACACCAUCUCCCGCGGCCAAGGGGAACACUGGCACGCCAUCCCCCAGCGCAGCCCUCAACACUCCAGGUAAUCCCGGCUCUGUGGGCCCCGCCCCGAGUCCUGGCCAGCCCCGGAACACCACGGAGGAGCAGGCCUACCUGGACAAACUGAACAAGCUGUCCAAGUACAUCGACCCACUCCGCCGCAUGGUCAACAGGCUGGAGAAAGAUGGAGAUCGGAAGAAAGAUUACCAUAAAAUGAAGAGUUUACUGGACAUUCUGACUGACUCCACCAAGAGGGUGCCAGUUGCGAUGUUGCAACGAUGUGAGCAGGUGCUCCAGAACUGGGACAUACAGACUAAAGGGAGUUCGAGCACGGCAGUUUCUAGCGUCCAUAGCUCCUGGUGUCAGCACCUGACGGACGCUCUGUCCACCCAUAUCAAGUCCUCCACCAUCAACCACAGCCUCUUCCGCUCCUUCGGCCCCGCAAUCAACACCCUCUGUGGAGCCCCCAUCAGAGGUCCUAGUCCACCCAAGAAGAAGAAGACUACUCCCCACCACACAAAGAGGGAAGGUCUCCCGGACCUGCUGCAGGGCGAGAUCGCUCGGCUCCACAACCGCUUCCGUGUCAGCCUUGACCCCCUGCACCAUGCCGACUCCAAGUCCAUACACCUGGUCUGCCGCCUUGAUGACAAGUCCCUGCCAAGUGUGCCCCCGAUCUCCGUGAUGAUCCCUGGAAACUACCCCAUGUCCAGCCCACAAUGCAACACCAGCUCCGAGGGCUAUGACGUGAGCUCCUUCUCCCAGGAUGUGCAGAAGAACCUCAACGACUCUGUCCUGAAGAUGCCCAACAAGUUCUCCUUCACGUCCCUGCUGGACACAUGGGAGAUGUGUGUGCGGAGAGCCUGUGCCUCCAUCAAUGUAGCAGGGGGCUGCUAAGGGUCACAACAGAAGGUGGGCGUGGUCAGGAACAGGAACAUGGAGAUCGUUGUGUUGCAGCCCUGUACCCACUCAAGGUCCUCAUUCCACCUUGGCCCAUGAUGUUUUAGCACUCCUUGUCCAUAUAUGGGUAUGAUGCUCCAGCAGUCUUUGUCCAUAUAUGGGUAUGAUGCUCCAGCAGUCUUUGUCCAUAUAUGGGUAUGAUGCUCCAGCAGUCUUUGUCCAUAUAUGGGUAUGAUACUCCAGCAGUCAUUUGCCAUAUAUGGGUAUUAUGCUCCAGCAGUCAUUGUCCAUAUAUGGGUAUGAUGCUCCAGCAGUCUUUGUCCAUAUAUGGGUAUGAUGCUCCAGCAGUCUUUGUCCAUAUAUGGGUAUGAUGCUCCAGCAGUCUUUGUCCAUAUAUGGGUAUGAUGCUCCAACAGUCAUUUGCCAUAUAUGGUUCCAAUGUUAUAUAUUUAUUUGAUGUUGAAGAGGUGAUCGGACGUCAGUUGGAUCAAGAGGACAAGAUCUGUUGCUGAAAGUGCAAUGUACAGACAAACUUUCAUUUCAAUCAAUACCAGACUGCUUAUUGAGAAUUGUUUUUGUAAGCCUCUGUCUAACAUUAUGUAUUGUUAUGAUUAUUAACCAUGUGUAAUGAAAAGGUAAAAGUGGUGAGAACUUGGGAGGAAUGUGUUGAGACAUAUACUGUGUCAUAAGGUGAUGAAUCAGAAUAUGUUCAGUACAAGAUAGUUUUCCAUCUGUUUCAUUCUUUUACUUCAUGUAAGAAUUUAGAAGGUUGAUUCACCUGAAGUAUACUUUCUGAUGUACAGGGGUACAUGCAGUAAAGAGAACUCAGUGUACUGGUCUCUCCAAGGUUCCUGGGGAGGCUAGGCCCAAGCACCUGCUGGUGUACUGGUCUCUCCAAGGUUCCCGGGGAGGCUAGGCCCAAGCACCUGCUGGUGUACUGGUCUCUCCAAGGUUCCUGGGGAGGCCAGGCCCCAGCACCUGCUGGUGUACUGGUC
This 2739-nucleotide unclassified non-coding RNA is filed under the name Haliotis rufescens (red abalone). RNAcentral's name for it is "mediator of RNA polymerase II transcription subunit 15-like, transcript variant X1". The record is from RNAcentral. Lineage: Eukaryota; Metazoa; Mollusca; Gastropoda; Lepetellida; Haliotidae.